AUAUUUCAUUUUCUAAGAGGAAAAAAAAAAAACAAAAAAAACCCCACCUAAACAAAAUAUGAUAAAUAUUCAGUCCAUCUGUAAAGCAAACAUUACAUAUUUCCAGUCAUCCUCAGCAUUUCUGAGGAACUCAGCAGGAUUUAAUGGGAUGGUGAUGGCUUGCUUUGGCUUCCCAACUGCUCACCAGUGCAGGGAAGUGCUCCUUUGUGUGGAUUAGAGGCAGCUCUCCCAGAACACAGCGGAACAACGUGUGCAGCGGGGGGCCAGCAGAUAGAAAGGAGGUUUCAUCAUCUUCUAUCUGCAGCCCUUUAAUAUCAAGAGACUUCCACAAAACUUAAAAUGAGUCUUUGAAAUAUUCCGUGCUGUGGAGGUAGAAAGGUACAAUAAAUAAUAUUUCUCUUUUUCCUCGUGUGGAAUGGAGAGAUAAAGCUAUUUAUAAAACUGUAAAGGCUUACAAAUCAUUCUAACAGGUUGUCAUAUGUUAAUGUCAGCGAGAAUUUAAUCACCCAAAGUAAAAAAUCUAUAUUUUUUUCUCCAAUCCUAUCUUAUUUUCGUAACUCUCUCCAUUGACAGAUUCUCUUGUGAUGAUAGAUUAAAGGAAUGCCCAGGACCACAAAAAUGUAAAAUCAGAAAAAAUACAGGGACUGACCCAGUAGGUUGUUUUUAAACUGCAUGUCAGUUUUUUUUUUUUGUUCUUGUAGCAGUUACAGGAUCUAAUGAGGAGUCAUUGUGCUCAGCACUGUACACCUGCUGAACAAGAAAAUAAAGAGCUAAUAAAUAGAUGGACUGUGAAGAUCCAGAUUUAUAUAACAAGUGGCAAGGCUUUCUGUAUAAACCCUUUGUGGAGUUGUUGAUUCAGGAAUAAACAACCUUGCUUAGGAGCAGAACAAUUUUAUUCAUCAAUUUAUUAAUAAAGAUUUUUAUGACAGCUGCUUACCCAAAAAGCUGUUCAGUGACGGGUUUAAUUUGCCAUCUGGGACUGGAGUGCCCUGAAUUCUUUGGCUUUUAGCCACUUUCACUCCUGUUAAAAGGAGACACAUCCUCGGGCUUUCCAGGUGAUCCCACGGUGAAUUCAACUUUAUCCUCUGAACCAAAGAGGAGUUUUAGAGAAAAAUAAAGGCAUGCAUGAUGUGUAGAUUUGUGAUUUUAUAAUUUUGUUCCUAUCUCUCAGUAGGUCCAGUAUUGGUGAGGUUCUUUUCCAGAGCAUUCCUUGGUUGCCUUUACCACUCAGAUUGAAUUGGGGAAGCCUCAUGCCAGUCUUGCUGUGCUUUUUAUUAUGGAUGAGAUGGGGUGAACAUUUCUGUCCAUGUUUCCUGCAGAAGACCUUGCUCUCACCUGCACCUUCGUGCCACAGACAAAUCUUCCAGCUCACAGAACGGGAUAAUUAGAAAGGAAGAAAUUUUUAUGGUUUGACUUGGAGCUUUUCAUUGCAGUUUAUUUGAUAGUUAGAAGCAUCAGCACCUCAGAAGUUAAUGAUCUGCCUGAAAUAAUGGGGAUUUUAGAAGAUGGAAUGGUACUAAAUUAAUAAAUAUAAUAAAUAUUAACCAUUUCACUGCAAGUAUAUAGUCUUUCUGAAAAAUAAAGCUGAGAAUAAUGCUGGAUUUUCAGCUCAGAAGUAAUGGUUUCAUAUAUUACUGAGAUAUAUUUUAUUAAUGAUGAUGAUAUCCUGAACAGAGCUGUGCAUUACAUUCAUAAUGCCCAUCUGGGCUGUGCUUGCAUGUUAAUUAAAAAACUAUUCCUCUUAACGUGGGGAUGCUCCCUGUCUUCAGGCUUGGUUCAUUCAGCAAGUUUAGAACACUGAUAAGUGUGGGGAAAAUGUUUAAUAUCUGCUCCUUAAGUUUAUGGUGAAACAGUGAAAGUUUAGCACCUCCCCAGGUAAUUAGCUUCCAAUACAGAAAAUAUUUUGGGAUUCUCUAGGAUCUACUGAACAAAAUAAAAAGUAUGGUGAGAGAUGAAAUGAAUUAUAGACAAGUGAAGGAAAUGGGGAAAGUUUUAAGAGAAAUUGUUUUAUAUAGAAUAGUUAUUAUAACACUUAGUCAUUAAAACAGCAGUAAUAAAAUUAUAUUUAUAGCUGAAUAAGGAGUCUCGGUGUGAUUAAGAUAUGGAAGUAGCUAAUUGGACUGCUGAAAUAUUAGGAUAUUGAAGUGAUGAAAAGUAUACAAAUGAAAAUAAAAGUGCAUAAAAAUUAAUGAGGAGACU
Taeniopygia guttata (zebra finch) is the source of this 2199-nucleotide long non-coding RNA. RefSeq lists it as uncharacterized. The record is from RefSeq and is a predicted model, not a curated record. NCBI's taxonomy places the organism in Eukaryota, Metazoa, Chordata, Aves, Passeriformes, Estrildidae.